This 253-nucleotide ribosomal RNA is filed under the name uncultured bacterium. RNAcentral's name for it is "partial 16S ribosomal RNA". It matches the Rfam family "Bacterial small subunit ribosomal RNA", at positions 524 to 776 of the family's 1533-position model. The record is from RNAcentral.
UACGGAGGGGGCGAGCGUUAUUCGGAAUUAUUGGGCGUAAAGGGCGCGUAGGCGGCGCGGUAAGUCAAAGGUGAAAUCCCUCGGCUCAACUGAGGAACUGCCUUUGAUACUGCCGUGCUCGAGGCCGGGAGGGGGUAGCGGAAUUCCCAGUGUAGCGGUGAAAUGCGUAGAUAUUGGGAGGAACACCAGUGGCGAAGGCGGCUACCUGGACCGGUUCUGACGCUGAUGCGCGAAAGCGUGGGUAGCAAACAGG